Molecule: ribosomal RNA, 441 nt
Filed under: uncultured bacterium
Lineage: Bacteria
Description: partial 16S ribosomal RNA
Rfam family: Bacterial small subunit ribosomal RNA
Source: RNAcentral
CCUACGGGAGGCAGCAGUGGGGAAUAUUGCACAAUGGGGGAAACCCUGAUGCAGCGACGCCGCGUGAGUGAAGAAGUAUUUCGGUAUGUAAAGCUCUAUCAGCAGGGAAGAAGAAAGACGGUACCUGACUAAGAAGCCCCGGCUAACUACGUGCCAGCAGCCGCGGUAAUACGUAGGGGGCAAGCGUUAUCCGGAUUUACUGGGUGUAAAGGGAGCGUAGACGGCUGUGCAAGUCUGAAGUGAAAGCCCAGGGCUCAACCCUGGGACUGCUUUGGAAACUGUGGAGCUAGAGUGCUGGAGAGGAAAGUGGAAUUCCUGGUGUAGCGGUGAAAGGCGUAGAUAUGAGGAGGAAAACGAGUGGCGAGGGCGGCUUACGGGACAGUAACGGACGUUGGGGCUGGAAAGCGUGGGGAGAAAACAGGAUUAGAUACCCUUGUAGUC